UCCCUGAUUGUCCAGUGGCUAAGAUUCUGCGCUCCCAAUGCAGGGCCCCUGGGUUCAAUUCCUGGUCAGGGAG
This 73-nucleotide transfer RNA is filed under the name Capra hircus (goat). It matches the Rfam family "tRNA". Rfam says of the family: Transfer RNA (tRNA) molecules are approximately 80 nucleotides in length. Their secondary structure includes four short double-helical elements and three loops (D, anti-codon, and T loops). The record is from Rfam by way of RNAcentral. Lineage: Eukaryota; Metazoa; Chordata; Mammalia; Artiodactyla; Bovidae. RNAcentral also lists the same sequence under 1 other name.